Molecule: long non-coding RNA, 679 nt
Organism: Diceros bicornis minor
Lineage: Eukaryota; Metazoa; Chordata; Mammalia; Perissodactyla; Rhinocerotidae
Exons: 3
Source: RefSeq, a predicted model, not a curated record
CUGCUGCUCCUGCCUGAAACAUUCAAAAGUGAAGGUACGUUAAAAAAACAAAACCUAAGAAUAAAUAUGCCAUGAGAAAAACUAUUCACAUGGAAAGUGGUUCCAUAAAACAAAAGAGUCACUGGCAUGAACACCACAAAAAAAUGCAAGAAUAAUCAGUCUGAUUUUUAUUGCUUCAAAGUACCACAGUGCUGAUCCUAGGAAACCUAGAUAUAAAAUUGGAAUUUAUCAGACAAAUCAAUAGGUAGGUAUUUUCACCACAAAAUAACACAUUGUAUAAAAGGAUUCACUGGUAGCUAUUUUAAUGCAAAUGUGUUGGUUUCCAGAUCCUUAAUAUUGCUGGAAGUCACUGAACAUAAGCACCUUUGAGAAGAUAAAGUAUCUCACAUUACCAGAAGACUGGCCAUGAGCUAACAUCCAUGCCCAUCUUCCUCCACUUUACAUGGGACGCCGCCACAGCAUGGCUUGCCAAGCGGUGCGUCAGUGCACGCCCGGGAUCCGAACCAGCGAACCCCAGGCCGCCGCAGCAGAGCGGGAACUAAGAAUAAUCUGAAUCAAUUCUUCAAGGACAAAUAAAGUGCGUGUCAGAGUGUCCAUACCUUGCAUACUGAGCUGAAUAGCCCUGCGGAGAUCUGCUUCUUCAUCUUCCAUGUCAAUUUCCUGGCGACUCAGUGCCAGA